This 442-nucleotide ribosomal RNA is filed under the name uncultured bacterium. Its description in RNAcentral is "partial 16S ribosomal RNA". It matches the Rfam family "Bacterial small subunit ribosomal RNA", at positions 338 to 795 of the family's 1533-position model. The record is from RNAcentral.
CCUACGGGUGGCAGCAGUAGGGAAUCUUUCACAAUGGGCGAAAGCCUGAUGGAGCAACGCCGCGUGCAGGAUGAAGGCCUUUGGGUUGUAAACUGCUUUUAUAAGCGAGAAAUAUGAUGGUAACUUAUGAAUAAGUAUCGUCUACCUACGUUCCAGCAGCCGCGGUCAUACGUAGGAUCCGAGCAUUAUCCGGAGUGACUGGGUGUAAGGAGUUGCGUAGGUGGCAUAAUAAGUAGCUAGUGAAAUCUGGUGGCUCAACCAUUCAGACUAUUAGCUAAACUGUUAAGCUCGAGACCGUUAGGGGUAACUGGAAUUUCUAGGGUAGGAGUGAAAUCCGUAGAUAUUAGAAAGAAAACAGAUAGCGUAGGCAGGUUACUGGGACGGUUCUGACACUAAGGCACGAAAGCGUAGGGAGCAAACGGGAUUAGAUACCCUGGUAGUC